Protopterus annectens (West African lungfish) is the source of this 418-nucleotide long non-coding RNA. RefSeq lists it as uncharacterized. The record is from RefSeq and is a predicted model, not a curated record. Lineage: Eukaryota; Metazoa; Chordata; Ceratodontiformes; Protopteridae. The transcript is spliced from 2 exons.
CCUUGCAGCCAAGCAGAGACAGCUACAUGACUGCUAUCAGCAGAAACAUUCUGCCCUGGAUAAAUGAAACCAAGACGAGCUGCACUAGCCAUGGACCAUUAAUAGUGCUCUGAAGCAACUAGAUAAUAACAACAUUUUGGAUGCAGACUUGCAAAAGAAUCAUGGUACAUGCCAUUUCCUUAUAGAACAGCUUACCUCCUAAACAAUAAAACAAUGGUGACCCUGGAAAGCUGUCUGCUUAACUGAGUUGCUCAAAGUCACACGGUAAUCAAAUGGAGGCUGAAGAAAACCCCUGACUACAAGAAGAAGCUUGUUAACACCUCAUGGCCUUAACUACCAGAUAUUUCUUGGACUUGACUAAGCAGUUUUACUAUCCAGGUAUAUUAAAACACAUUAAAUUCCCAAAUGAAUGCUGCAA